RNAcentral lists this ribosomal RNA (989 nucleotides) under Botryosphaeria dothidea. RNAcentral describes it as "eukaryotic LSU rRNA". The stretch from base 387 to 989 matches the Rfam family "Eukaryotic large subunit ribosomal RNA", at positions 1 to 608 of the family's 3401-position model. Lineage: Eukaryota; Fungi; Ascomycota; Dothideomycetes; Botryosphaeriales; Botryosphaeriaceae. The record is from RNAcentral.
CGCGCCCGCCAGAGGACCACAAAACUUCCAGUCAGUGAACUUUGCUGUCUGAUAUAAAUUCAAUAAACUAAAACUUUCAACAACGGAUCUCUUGGUUCUGGCAUCGAUGAAGAACGCAGCGAAAUGCGAUAAGUAAUGUGAAUUGCAGAAUUCAGUGAAUCAUCGAAUCUUUGAACGCACAUUGCGCCCUUCGGUAUUCCGAAGGGCAUGCCUGUUCGAGCGUCAUUACACCCCUCAAGCUCUGCUUGGUGUUGGGCAGCGUCCUCUCGGACGCGCCUCAAAGACCUCGGCGGUGGCGUCUUGCCUCAAGCGUAGUAGAAAACACCUCGCUUUGGAGGACGGGACGACCGCUCGCCGGACGAACCUUUGAAUUCAUUUUCCUAGGUUGACCUCGGAUCAGGUAGGGAUACCCGCUGAACUUAAGCAUAUCAAUAAGCGGAGGAAAAGAAACCAACUGGGAUUGCCUUAGUAACGGCGAGUGAAGCGGCAAUAGCUCAAAUUUGAAAGCUGGCGUCUUUGGCGUCCGCGUUGUAAUUUGUAGAGGAUGCUUCGGCGAGGGCUCCGGUCUAAGUUCCCUGGAACGGGACGUCAUAGAGGGUGAGAAUCCCGUAUGUGAUCGGUUGCCUAAGCCAUGUGAAGCUCCUUCGACGAGUCGAGUUGUUUGGGAAUGCAGCUCUAAAUGGGAGGUAAAUUUCUUCUAAAGCUAAAUACCGGCCAGAGACCGAUAGCGCACAAGUAGAGUGAUCGAAAGAUGAAAAGCACUUUGGAAAGAGAGUUAAAAAGUACGUGAAAUUGUUGAAAGGGAAGCGCUUGCAACCAGACUCGUCCGCAGUUGCUCAGCCGGUCUCUUGACCGGCGUACUCUUCUGCGGCCGGGCCAGCAUCAGUUCGGGCGGCCGGAUAAAGGCCUCGGGAAUGUAGCACCCUUCGGGGUGUGUUAUAGCCCGGGGUGGAAUGCGGCCAGCCUGGACUGAGGAUCUCGCUCGGCUA